Molecule: non-coding RNA, 82 nt
Organism: Sphenostylis stenocarpa
Lineage: Eukaryota; Viridiplantae; Streptophyta; Magnoliopsida; Fabales; Fabaceae
Source: the annotation of a GenBank genome assembly
GUGGAUGUGUCGGAGUGGUUAUCGGGCAUGACUAGAAAUUAUGUGGGUUCGCUCGCUGCGAGUUUGAAUCCUGUCAUUCACG